GGAGGGGUGCGAGAGCGGCCGAAUCGGCACGCUUGGAAAGCGUGUGUGGGGAAACUCACCGUGGGUUCGAAUCCCACUCCCUCCGCCA
RNAcentral lists this transfer RNA (88 nucleotides) under Actinomycetes bacterium. Its description in RNAcentral is "tRNA-Ser". It matches the Rfam family "tRNA". Rfam says of the family: Transfer RNA (tRNA) molecules are approximately 80 nucleotides in length. Their secondary structure includes four short double-helical elements and three loops (D, anti-codon, and T loops). RNAcentral also lists the same sequence under 8 other names. Lineage: Bacteria; Bacillati; Actinomycetota; Actinomycetes. The record is from RNAcentral.